ACCUGACGCAGCGACGCCGCGUGCGGGAAGAAGGCCUUCGGGUUGUAAACCGCUUUCAGGAGGGACGAAGCCACUCGGGUUAAUAGCCCAGAGGGUGACGGUACCUCCAGAAGAAGCCCCGGCUAACUACGUGCCAGCAGCCGCGGUAAUACGUAGGGGGCUAGCGUUGUCCGGAUUUAUUGGGCGUAAAGAGCGCGUAGGCGGCCGAGUAAGUCCGACGUGAAAUCUGGAGGCUCAACCUCCAGCGGUCGUUGGAAACUACUCGGCUAGAGUCCGGAAGAGGAGAGUGGAAUUCCUGGUGUAGCGGUGAAAUGCGCAGAUAUCAGGAAGAACACCGAUGGCGAAAGCAGCUCUCUGGGACGGUACGGACGCUGAGGCGCGAAAGCGUGGGGAGCGAACAGGAUUAGAUACCCUGGUAGUCCACGCCGUAAACGAUGGGUGCUAGGUGUGGGCGGUGUCGACUCCGCCCGUGCCGAAGCUAACGCAUUAAGCACCCCGCCUGGGGAGUACGGCCGCAAGGCUA
This 523-nucleotide ribosomal RNA is filed under the name uncultured Actinomycetes bacterium. Its description in RNAcentral is "bacterial SSU rRNA". It matches the Rfam family "Bacterial small subunit ribosomal RNA", at positions 381 to 896 of the family's 1533-position model. The record is from RNAcentral. Lineage: Bacteria; Bacillati; Actinomycetota; Actinomycetes.